AUUGAACGCUGGCGGAAUGCUUUACACAUGCAAGUCGAACGGCAGCACGGGUGCUUGCACCUGGUGGCGAGUGGCGAACGGGUGAGUAAUACAUCGGAACGUACCCAGUUAUGGGGGAUAACUAACCGAAAGGUUAGCUAAUACCGCAUACGCCCUGAGGGGGAAAGCGGGGGACCAUAAGGCCUCGCGUAAUUGGAGCGGCCGAUGUCUGAUUAGCUAGUUGGUGAGGUAAAGGCUCACCAAGGCGACGAUCAGUAGCAGGUCUGAGAGGAUGAUCUGCCACACUGGAACUGAGACACGGUCCAGACUCCUACGGGAGGCAGCAGUGGGGAAUUUUGGACAAUGGGGGCAACCCUGAUCCAGCAAUGCCGCGUGAGUGAAGAAGGCCUUCGGGUUGUAAAGCUCUUUUGUCAGGGAAGAAAAGGUUCGGGCUAAUAUCCCGGGUUCAUGACGGUACCUGAAGAAUAAGCACCGGCUAACUACGUGCCAGCCGCCGCAGUAA
This 502-nucleotide ribosomal RNA is filed under the name uncultured bacterium. RNAcentral describes it as "partial 16S ribosomal RNA". It matches the Rfam family "Bacterial small subunit ribosomal RNA", at positions 30 to 523 of the family's 1533-position model. The record is from RNAcentral.